This is a non-coding RNA of Caenorhabditis elegans, 217 nucleotides long. The record is from Ensembl. Lineage: Eukaryota; Metazoa; Nematoda; Chromadorea; Rhabditida; Rhabditidae.
GGUUGCUCACUCAAAAGUGUAAGUAUCUCUUGAUAACUGACUCCAUUGUUAGCUGAAAAGACCGCCAACAUGGCUCUUCUUCUGAAUUCGAGUGCUCUUCGUCGUCUUCUGAAGACUCUUGAUUGGGGUCUCCGGAAGGAAGAAAAAUAUUAUACGAGAUGAAGAUGCGCAGAGAUAAACGAAAGUGAACAAGUUGAGAAGCUCAUAGUCUCUAAAC